RNAcentral lists this ribosomal RNA (247 nucleotides) under uncultured bacterium. RNAcentral's name for it is "partial 16S ribosomal RNA". It matches the Rfam family "Bacterial small subunit ribosomal RNA", at positions 523 to 769 of the family's 1533-position model. The record is from RNAcentral.
AUACGGAGGAUCCGAGUGUUAUCCGGAUUUAUUGGGUUUAAAGGGUGCGCAGGCGGAAGAUUAAGUCGGCGGUGAAAUUUUGCAGCUCAACUGUAAAAGUGCCUUCGAAACUGGUUUUCUUGAGUGUAGAUGAAGUAGGCGGAAUUUGUGGUGUAGCGGUGAAAUGCUUAGAUAUCACAAAGAACACCAAUUGCGAAGGCAGCUUACUGGGAUACAACUGACGCUGAGGCACGAAAGCGUGGGGAUC